AUUGUUUUCUUGCUUGGCUUUUUGAUAGGAUUUGCUUCUUCCCUCUACUUGGAGCCAUUUUUUGUCUUCUCAAGUCAACUGCAUCUGAUGAUGUAGUGAGACUCUGCCCAGGUUCUGGUGGUAUAAUUGGUGGUUGAUCACUCUUGGGCCAACAACUGUUGUCUUGAGUUGGGUUCAAGAUGUGGCUAUAAGUUGCUAAGAAGCUUGUAUAAUGGCAGCAAGCUUCCAUGAAGGAUCUGCUCUAAAU
Molecule: long non-coding RNA, 247 nt
Organism: Dioscorea cayenensis subsp. rotundata (Guinea yam)
Lineage: Eukaryota; Viridiplantae; Streptophyta; Magnoliopsida; Dioscoreales; Dioscoreaceae
Exons: 3
Source: RefSeq, a predicted model, not a curated record